CGUGUCUAGAAUGGAGGAGCUCUCGAUGCUGCCUACAGGUCACGUGUCCUUGAGCGACCAUGUGACGUCCUGGUCUCUCGCCGCACGGCCUGCAGGAUGCAGCAGUGUACAGUAUACAAGGAGAUGAGAGUCUCCUCUGUCCUCCAAUCUUUACGUGUAUUAAUGGCACCUGUUUGAACUUAUCAGUAUAAAAGACACCUGUCCACAACCUCAAAUAGUCACACUCCAAACUCUACUAUGGUCAAGACCAAAGAGCUGUUGAAGGACACCAGAAACAAAAUUGUAGACCUGCACCAGGCUGGGAAGACUAAAUCUGCAAAAGGUAAGCAGCUUGGUGUGAAUCAACUGUGGGAGCAAUUAUUCGAAAAUGGAAGACCUACAAGACCACUGAUAAUCUCACUCGAUCUGGGGCUCCACGCAAGUUCUCACCCCGUGGUGUCAAAAUGAUCACAAGAAUGACCUGGUGAAAAUUUUUGGUCCCCUUCCGUUAAAGACAGAAAAACCUACAAUGCUUCCUGAAAUAACUUGAAAUGGACAAAAGAAAUAAUGAUAAAAAAUUUACUGGAAAUAACCUGAUGAAAAUCAGACACUGCUUUUGAAUUCUUGUUCAACAGAAUCAUAAAAAAAAUGAAAAAUUAAAUGAAAUAACGAAAAUGUAUGUAAAUAGGGUUUUCCAAGAGCUUGUUUCAUUCUGACAUAGCAGAGAGCCUUCUACCCUUUCUGGCUCAGAACAUUAC
Long non-coding RNA from Hyla sarda, 737 nucleotides. RefSeq lists it as uncharacterized. The transcript has 3 exons. Lineage: Eukaryota; Metazoa; Chordata; Amphibia; Anura; Hylidae. The record is from RefSeq and is a predicted model, not a curated record.